Molecule: RNA transcript, 4352 nt
Organism: Symphalangus syndactylus (siamang)
Lineage: Eukaryota; Metazoa; Chordata; Mammalia; Primates; Hylobatidae
Gene: GID4
Gene name: GID complex subunit 4 homolog
Source: RefSeq, a predicted model, not a curated record
AGACUACAAGUCCCAGCGGGCCGCUAGCGCACCGCGCCACGUGUUUUCUCCUCCCGCCAAUGGGCGGAAGCGCCGCGUGAGCCUGCUCCCGCCCCCCAGGCUCGCCUGAGCCAAUCGGAAGGGGCGGGGUGUGUGUGUGUGUGUGUGUGUGUGUGUGUGUGUGCGCGUGUGCGUGUCUGUGAGUGUCUGUGUGUGUGUGUAUGUGUGCGCGAGGGCAAGUCGGGAGGGGGACCCAGCUCAGGACUGGGAGGCCCUGCUCGCAGGUCCCUGGGUCCCGGUGGCGGCCGGAGCACUUGGUCCGCAGGCAGCGGGCGGGUGGUCGCCCCUCCCGCCCCCACCCCGCGCGUGCGCGCCCCGGCCUCUCCCUCCCCGCCACCCUCCUCGGCUCCCGCGCGGCGGCGGCGGUUGCUCUCCCACUCCCCCCAGCCCUGGCUCCGGGGGACCCCGCGAUGCCGGUCCGCACCGAGUGUCCCCCGCCGGCCGGUGCCUCCGCUGCCUCCGCGGCCUCCCUCAUCCCGCCGCCGCCCAUCAACACCCAGCAGCCCGGCGUGGCCACCAGCCUGCUCUACAGCGGCUCCAAGUUCCGCGGCCACCAGAAGAGCAAGGGGAACUCGUACGACGUAGAGGUGGUGCUGCAGCACGUGGACACGGGGAACUCUUACCUUUGUGGGUACUUGAAGAUUAAAGGCCUUACUGAGGAGUAUCCAACCCUUACAACCUUCUUUGAAGGAGAAAUAAUCAGCAAAAAACACCCUUUCUUAACUCGCAAGUGGGAUGCAGAUGAAGAUGUUGAUCGGAAACACUGGGGCAAGUUUCUGGCUUUUUAUCAGUAUGCAAAAUCAUUUAAUUCAGAUGACUUUGAUUAUGAAGAGCUGAAGAAUGGAGACUAUGUCUUCAUGAGGUGGAAGGAACAGUUUCUGGUCCCAGAUCACACGAUCAAAGACAUCAGUGGUGCUUCUUUUGCCGGGUUCUACUACAUCUGCUUUCAGAAGUCAGCAGCCUCCAUAGAGGGCUACUACUACCAUAGGAGUUCAGAAUGAUACCAUGAGAAUCAGUUUAUGCCUAUGCUAGCCAUAAAGUUCUUAGGAUAUGACAGCCUGGCAUUACAUGCUACAGCAGGAGAGGGCAGAGCAGCAGGUAUCAGUCCCUCAAUCUAACCCAUGUUCCUGAACACAGUGCACCCAUCUAUGAAUUCCGGUGACAACGGUUCAGAACAGCAACCAAAUAAAACUGAACUUGGCAAAAAAGAACUUUGCCGAGAAAAUUGUGUACCUGCCAGAACCAGGAGAAGUAUGUUCCUGUUUCUUCACGAGCAGACUCGCAUCACAAAGCAUGAAUGUUAACCCACAGAAUCCAAGGAGCAUGGCUGGCCCGUGGGGCAGGUGGAGGGAGCGGUCUUCGUUCUUCCUCCCCUCAGUGGCAGUUUGGUCUUCACCUGUUUUUAAGCUACCUUAAACGCACUUUUCCUUCCUGCACAGCUAACUUCUACAUCACUGAAAUGCCCAUUCCUUCCUCCGUCCCACCUCCAGCCGAGUAGAAGGUCUGCUCCCGGAUCACCCUCAGCCUUGGUGCUCAGUGGUCCCCAGGCCCUAGACCCCCACCCCCCGCCAGUUGCUUUGUCUGGUAGCUCAAGAGAAGGCAGAGCCCCAGCACCUCUGUGCCCCCCAGAGCUCUGUGCAGGGAGUUGGCCAGCUGCCGCAGCAUCGGCCACCAGCGACACAAGAGGCGGAGGCCCCGGUCCCUGCUGGGCUGCCUCAGUCUUCAGUGCCGAUUGUGUCACGGGUCAGCGUGCGCUGCUGAACCCUAUACUGUUAACAGUGCAAAGCUAGUGAGUGGCUGUCAGGUUCCCUGGGCCUGCCAUCAGGGAUCACUAAAUUUAAGGCUUCCAGAUCCCUGGCAGGAACAGAUUCCAGUCCUGCUUACUCAGUACAUUUGCUCCAAACUUUUGAACUUGAGGGCAAUACUAAACUUAAAAAUAAGAGUUUUUUUAUUACAAAAUUAUUUUUAUGGUCCCUUUAACGAGGACCCUAUGGCAAAUGCACAAUUAUUCAGAAUUACAUUUUAUCGUUUUCACAUUGAAAACAGCAAAUGUUGACUUAGUAAUUUUUAUAUCGAUAUCUAUAUGUAUAUGUAUAUUUAAUCAACCAGCAGUUUUGAAACUAGUCAUCCUGGUACAAAAGUUUUGCAGCAUUGCCUAAAUUAUAGUGCUCAACACAAGAACUGUUUUUGGGGCCAGUUUAGCAUUUGUGCCGCCUCCUUUUGCUACUCAAAACAGCAGUGCUUGGCGGCAGCCUUCCAUGAGGCAGAAGGGGUCGUCGUUCUCUGAAAACAGUGACUCUGAAAUGUUGGGACAGGGGAAGGGGUGGGAAACAUGAACAUGCUCAAAUAACUCGAGGCUCACGUGCCAAAGUGUGUGUGUGUGUGUGUGUGUGUGUGUGUGUAUGGUGUUUUGUUUUUUCAAAUGUUUAAAAAGCUUAAUAGGUUGGCAUCAGUUGUAGCCCACAAACAUGGGUAGGGCUUUGGGGAAUUGACAUUUUUCUGGUGAUUUACAAGACUUACUCCGAAUACAAGAGGAAAAGCUUUAAAAACAAGAUUGCAUCAUAACCCCCAGGAGCAAAGCAACCUGGAGGCUGCAUAUCCACGGGCGGGCAGCAUAAGAGAACGUGAAGCCCUUCAGUAAGACGAGACGAGCAAUGGGAAACCUUUUCUGUUCUUAAGAAGUGACUUUAAUUUUAUUGACAUAUGUACUGUAUGUUACUGAGAUUGAAUGUUAGGGGAGGCCUUAAGGGAGAGGUAUUUGGGAAAGUAGCCAGUGGCACUUGUGAUAUCUAAAAUCUGUUAUCCCAGGACUGUACAGAGGGGCAACCCACCCAUUCAGGAAGGUCAGGGCUUUGGAACCCUAAAAAGUUGGCCCGAUGGCUUAACGGGAAAAACAGUUCAUUCCCAGAGAUGAGUCAGAACAGUCUCCUCAAUCCUGAAAUUCAACAAGGCAUCAGAAGGGCUGGCUGUGGUCAAGCCCAGCUGCUCUCAUGUGAGGAGAUGCUCACUGUGGUUUUGUUGAGCUAAUGGCCUUGGUUGAGCUGAUGGACAAGUGAAGGAGGCCGUGGGGCUGUGCUGUCCUUCCUGCCGUACGUGCCAUUCCACUCUCUUCAGCUCUCCCCAUAACGGCAUGCGAGCCCAUACCUUCUGCAUUUUUCCAGGCCUAUGAGGGAUAUAGGCCUCCCCUUGGAGCACUGAGUCCGGAGGUCAUCCCUGAGCUCGUCCAGGGCUCAUGCUGUGGCUCCGAGUAGUGGUUUGAGUGGGCAGGAAGGGCCAUUUGCAAACACUGCUGUGUUCUAGACAAACAAGCCAAGUCUCAUUGCAGGAUUUCUUCCUUCCUUCUGUUUUUACCCAGGUAAUGAAGUGCCCAUUGUACUGGGAAAAAUGAAGAGGUGAUACCUUUACUAGAUCCUUCAGACACAUCUAUGAGAAGAUUUGUUCGCUUAAAAGUCUGCCCACUGAGGAUAGGGAAGGGAUUAAGGAUUUUUCCACCUCCUCUUAGUAACUCCUGAAUUACCAACAUCAACUUCUUUCUCUCUGUUCCUGAAGGAACUUUGGGGAAUCAUCUUCAUCCAUAGUUAUGCUUUCCUGAACCUUCUCAGUGGUUUACAUGCCUCUGAAACUAUGUGCAAUAUUUUUGGUUGACACUUGUAUCCAUCCUUAAGAAAUUAGUGCAGUUUGCAGAUAUUCUACUGUCUUCCACCCCAAACAAGCCUGCCAUGAGGUGGGAUCCUAGGGGUUUGGCUGUUCUUACUCCACUGCUCAGAAAGCUUCCAUUCUGCUGUCCCCAGCCUCUACCCUCUUCUGUGCUGGACUUCCAUCCACCCACCCUUUUCAAGUUUAGAUAGCGUUUCAGCUGCGGUCCCAAAGUAACAAUACCUACUGUUAAGUAGGAAGUCAAUCUGUGUACUGGUUAUGUUGGUUAUGUUGAAAUCACAAACUCCAGAGGAGCAAAGGGGUUUUUCAAUGUCUUUUGCUUUCAGAAACAGAGAAUAUAAUAUUCUCACUAAGGCCUUGAAUUGAUUUUUUUCUCAUAAAAUAGUCUGAUAAGCUAAUUUUUAAAAAGAAAUGCCAUUAACUGUUGUAUUGUGGUUUAAAAUUACUAACAAGUUGUGGGAAAGAAAAAUAAUAUUUGAUUUUGAAUCUUAAAUGUUUUUAAAAAUUAGACUUGAAUGGGCACAAAGUAUAAAUAUUUGGUUUCUUUAUGGAGGACAUGUGGAAGGAGUUUGAGGGUUUGGGAUGGGAGAAGUAUUUUGCAGAGCUAUCAAUGUCCAAAUAAUUUUUAAAAAAUAAUAAAGGUAUUUAAGCAGUGA